Molecule: ribosomal RNA, 491 nt
Filed under: bacterium GPR2
Lineage: Bacteria
Description: partial 16S ribosomal RNA
Rfam family: Bacterial small subunit ribosomal RNA
Source: RNAcentral
ACGCAGCGUUGCUCCGUCNNACUUNCGNCCNNNCNNANGNNNUCNUACGGGANCAGCAGUAGGGAAUCUUCCGCAAUGGACGAAAGUCUGACGGAGCAACGCCGCGUGAGUGAUGAAGGUUUUCGGAUCGUAAAGCUCUGUUGUUAGGGAAGAACAAGUGCCGUUCGAAUAGGGCGGCACCUUGACGGUACCUAACCAGAAAGCCACGGCUAACUACGUGCCAGCAGCCGCGGUAAUACGUAGGUGGCAAGCGUUGUCCGGAAUUAUUGGGCGUAAAGCGCGCGCAGGUGGUUCCUUAAGUCUGAUGUGAAAGCCCACGGCUCAACCGUGGAGGGUCAUUGGAAACUGGGGGACUUGAGUGCAGAAGAGGAAAGUGGAAUUCCAAGUGUAGCGGUGAAAUGCGUAGAUAUUUGGAGGAACACCAGUGGCGAAGGCGACUUUCUGGUCUGUAACUGACACUGAGGCGCGAAAGCGUGGGGAGCAAACAGGAU